RNAcentral lists this ribosomal RNA (214 nucleotides) under uncultured bacterium. RNAcentral's name for it is "partial 16S ribosomal RNA". It matches the Rfam family "Bacterial small subunit ribosomal RNA", at positions 562 to 775 of the family's 1533-position model. The record is from RNAcentral.
AAAGGGUGCGUAGGCUGUGAGGUAAGUCAGCGGUGAAAUACCCGGGCUCAACCUGGGAACUGCUUUGGAAACUGUAUGGCUGGAGUGCUGGAGAGGUAAGCGGAAUUCCUAGUGUAGCGGUGAAAUGCGUAGAUAUUAGGAGGAACACCAGUGGCGAAGGCGGCUUACUGGACAGUAACUGACGUUGAGGCUCGAAAGCGUGGGGAGCAAACAG